GGCAAGUCGAGCGGGCGUAGCAAUACGUCAGCGGCAGACGGGAGAGUAACACGUGGGAACGCGCCCUUCGGUUCGGAAUAACUCAGGGAAACUUGAGCUAAUACCGGAUACGCCCUAACGGGGAAAGAUUUAUCGCCGAAGGAACGGCCCGCGUCGGAUUAGCUAGUUGGUGAGGUAAUGGCUCACCAAGGCGACGAUCCGUAGCUGGUCUGAGAGGAUGACCAGCCUCACUGGGACUGAGACACGGCCCAGACUCCUACGGGAGGCAGCAGUGGGGAAUAUUGGACAAUGGGCGCAAGCCUGAUCCAGCCAUGCCGCGUGGAUGAUGAAGGCCUUAGGGUUGUAAAGUCCUUUUAACGGGGAAGAUAAUGACGGUACCCGUAGAUAAGCCCCGGCUAA
This 399-nucleotide ribosomal RNA is filed under the name uncultured bacterium. RNAcentral describes it as "bacterial SSU rRNA". It matches the Rfam family "Bacterial small subunit ribosomal RNA", at positions 56 to 500 of the family's 1533-position model. The record is from RNAcentral.